AAACUGAAGAGUUUGAUCAUGGCUCAGAUUGAACGCUGGCGGUAUGCUUAACACAUGCAAGUCGAACGGUAACAGCAGAAGCUUGCUUCUGGCUGACGAGUGGCGGACGGGUGAGUAACGCGUGGGAAUCUGCCUACUAGCGGGGGAUAGCCCGGAGAAAUCCGGAUUAAUACCGCAUACGCCCUACGGGGGAAAGCUGGGGAUCUUCGGACCUGGCACUAGUAGAUGAGCCCGCGUUGGAUUAGCUUGUUGGUAGGGUAAUGGCCUACCAAGGCGACGAUCCAUAGCUGUUCUGAGAGGAAGAUCAGCCACACUGGGACUGAGACACGGCCCAGACUCCUACGGGAGGCAGCAGUGGGGAAUAUUGCACAAUGGGCGCAAGCCUGAUGCAGCAAUACCGCGUGUGUGAAGAAGGCCUGAGGGUUGUAAAGCACUUUCAAUAGUGAAGAAAAGCUCA
RNAcentral lists this ribosomal RNA (457 nucleotides) under Gammaproteobacteria bacterium. RNAcentral describes it as "bacterial SSU rRNA". It matches the Rfam family "Bacterial small subunit ribosomal RNA", at positions 1 to 456 of the family's 1533-position model. The record is from RNAcentral. Lineage: Bacteria; Pseudomonadati; Pseudomonadota; Gammaproteobacteria.